Molecule: ribosomal RNA, 253 nt
Filed under: uncultured bacterium
Lineage: Bacteria
Description: partial 16S ribosomal RNA
Rfam family: Bacterial small subunit ribosomal RNA
Source: RNAcentral
UACAGAGGGUGCAAGCGUUGUUCGGAAUUAUUGGGCGUACAGGGCGCGUAGGCGGUGCGGUAAGUCACCUGUGAAAUCUCCUGGCUCAACUGGGAGCUUGCAGGCGAAACUGCCGUGCUGGAGUGUGGGAGAGGUGCGUGGAAUUCCCGGUGUAGCGGUGAAAUGCGUAGAUAUCGAGAGGAACACCUGUGGCGAAAGCGGCGCACUGGACCACAACUGACGCUGAGGCGCGAAAGCUAGGGGAGCAAACAGG